RNAcentral lists this ribosomal RNA (497 nucleotides) under uncultured bacterium. RNAcentral describes it as "partial 16S ribosomal RNA". It matches the Rfam family "Bacterial small subunit ribosomal RNA", at positions 28 to 507 of the family's 1533-position model. The record is from RNAcentral.
GAUGAACGCUGGCGGCGUGCCUAAUACAUGCAAGUCGAGCGAACAGACGAGGAUCUUGCUGCUCUGACGUUAGCGGCGGACGGGUGAGUAACACGUGGAUAACCUACCUAUAAGACUGGGAUAACUUCGGGACACCGGAGCUAAUACCGGAUAAUAUCUUGAACCGCAUGGUUCAAUGGUGAAAUACGGUGUUGCUGUCACUUAUAGAUGGAUCUGCGCUGCAUUAGCUAGUUGUUAAGGUAACGGCUUACCAAGGCAACGAUGCGUAGCCGACCUGAGGGGGUGAUCGGCCACACUGGAACUGAGACACGGUCAUGACUCCUACGGGAGGCAGCAGUAUGGAAUCUUCCGCAAUGGGCGAAAGCCUUACGGAGCAGCGCGGCGUGAGUGAUGAAGGUCUUCGGAUCGUAAAAAUCUGUUAUUAGGGAAGAACAAAUUUGUAAGUAACUGUGCACUUCUUGACGGUACCUAAUCAGAAAGCCACGGCUAACUACGUG